GGUCCGCUCGGUGUGCGGGGUCCCCUCGGUGUGCGGGGUCCGCUCGGUGUGCCACGUGUCGGGCUGCUGGUGUGCAUCGUGUGCCCCUCGGCAGGAACAUCCCUUCUCUGAGCUCCUUUGCCUCCUGUGAGAGUCACGUCACCGUUUGCUACAACCACUUCCCACUGGGACUGGGCCUGUUCACCUACGAUUAUUUCAUCUCCCGAUCAGAAUUAAGUGUACACGCCUGGAGAAGAUUUAUGACCCAGUGUGAGUCCUUGCUGGAGAGAAAUUCACCCACAGCUCCUCCCUUCGGGUCUGUUCUCUGACUGCCCAAGGUUGAGACAAUUAUUUUUUUUUUUCUUUUAGUGCAAAUUUUCUGUUUCCAUACCUCAUGCACAAAACUGAAGUUCCCCUAAAAAUUACCCUUCGAGCUCGCACAAAGAACUCAUUUAAAGGUCCAUUAAGUGCUUGUAAUGCUAAUUCUGGGUUGGGCAAAGCCAAGAAGAAAACAGGAGGGUGGAGAAGGACAGAUUAGCAUAGGAAGAAGAAA
This is a long non-coding RNA of Calypte anna (Anna's hummingbird), 532 nucleotides long. RefSeq lists it as uncharacterized. The transcript has 3 exons. The record is from RefSeq and is a predicted model, not a curated record. Lineage: Eukaryota; Metazoa; Chordata; Aves; Apodiformes; Trochilidae.